UACGUAGGGGGCAAGCGUUAUCCGGAUUUACUGGGUGUAAAGGGAGCGUAGGCGGUGCAGCAAGUCAGAAGUGAAAGCCCGGGGCUCAACUCCGGGACUGCUUUUGAAACUGUUGAACUAGAUUGCAGGAGAGGUAAGUGGAAUUCCUAGUGUAGCGGUGAAAUGCGUAGAUAUUAGGAGGAACACCAGUGGCGAAGGCGGCUUACUGGACUGUAAAUGACGCUGAGGCUUGAAAGCGUGGGGAGCAAACAGG
RNAcentral lists this ribosomal RNA (253 nucleotides) under uncultured bacterium. RNAcentral describes it as "partial 16S ribosomal RNA". It matches the Rfam family "Bacterial small subunit ribosomal RNA", at positions 524 to 776 of the family's 1533-position model. The record is from RNAcentral.